AUUGAACGCUGGCGGCAUGCCUUACACAUGCAAGUCGAACGGCAGCACGGGAGCAAUCCUGGUGGCGAGUGGCGAACGGGUGAGUAAUAUAUCGGAACGUGCCCAGUCGUGGGGAUAACGUAGCGAAAGCUACGCUAAUACCGCAUACGAUCUAUGGAUGAAAGCGGGGGAUCGCAAGACCUCGCGCGAUUGGAGCGGCCGAUAUCAGAUUAGGUAGUUGGUGAGGUAAAGGCUCACCAAGCCGACGAUCUGUAGCUGGUCUGAGAGGACGACCAGCCACACUGGGACUGAGACACGGCCCAGACUCCUACGGGAGGCAGCAGUGGGGAAUUUUGGACAAUGGGCGCAAGCCUGAUCC
This 358-nucleotide ribosomal RNA is filed under the name uncultured bacterium. RNAcentral's name for it is "bacterial SSU rRNA". It matches the Rfam family "Bacterial small subunit ribosomal RNA", at positions 30 to 389 of the family's 1533-position model. The record is from RNAcentral.